GCAAAAUAAUAAUUCUUCCAUGGUAUCCUCACUUUCUAAAAAUCAUAUACCUGGUUUGGACCUAAUUACUAAUACUGAAUGCAAUACCAAAGGAUUUCUGAAUGUCUCAAAGAUUAUACCACAAAAUCAAACCGAACCGAUUCAAACACCUGACGACAAGCCAUUUAAUUUUCCCAAAAGCAAUACAACCUCUGCAAUUAUAAACCAACAACCAGUUAGUAUGCCUCUUAACAAUAUCCACCAAUCAACUACAUCCAUGUUUCAGAAUUCUUAUAGUUGGUCAAAGUUUAACAAUCCUGUAUCCUAUUAUGAUAAAAAUCCAGUGGAUGUGAAUGAUGCACCAUCAUCUAGAUUUGGUCAACAAAAUGAUAUUAAUGCUCGACCACCAUAUGAUGAAGAAAUAUCUAAUACUUCUUACAAUAGUUCUCAAAAUGCUACUAAUAAUAUGAACUAUAGAAGACCACUAGAAGGAUCAUAUAUUAAUAAACUGAUAAACGAAAGUAGUAGUACAAUGUACAAUAAGGGUCCAGAUGACCAACUUUAUAAUAGAAAUUUUAAUACACAAACUAGUAAUUUUCGAGGUUAUCAACCAAAUAUUUCCAAUAAUAAUAAUUUCAACAGAUCACCGGAAAACAUUCCAUAUCAACAUCAAAAACCAUUGAAUCUAACACAUUCGAAACCGCCUUCUUUGUUGAGUUUAAAUGUGGUUAAACCAAUUACACUAGGUAAGAAUUUAAAAUUACACUGUUUACAAAAUAUUUAUUUUUUAUAUUUCUGAACAUCAGAAUUUAUAAUAAAUUAUUAUUUAUUCUCAUAUAUUUUACCGACUGGUAUUAUUUUUGGUAUAUUAUUAUGAUUUUAUUUACCUGUUAGCAGAAAUUUUGACAAUUUAGAAAAUAAUAUCACUUUUGUAGUUUCUUGGGCAAUUACCCAAUAUAAUACUAAAGAACAUGGAGUUUACUUUGUGCAAAUAAUAUAGUAUUAUACUAAUUUACUAUUCUGUAUUAAUACAAAUACACGCCUUGUCCUAAUAUUAUCAAUCAUUAUUUUGUUACCGUAUUAUGUAUUGUCAAUUUUGCCAGUAACAUACCUACAACAUGACAUUUUAAAUUCCAUUAAUUUCAUAUUUUAGGUUCUGAUGGGAGCGAGGAAUAUAUAGGUUUUAUAGUGAUGUUUAUUUUAUUUUUGUAUUUUUUUCUGUGAAUAACUUAUCUACCAACAAUUUUAAGGGAGAUCAUUUUUUGAUUUUCCUAGGAGUUUUCAUAAUAAAUAGGAAAUACGGGAAAAUAUACAAAAUGUAUUAUUUUUAAAUUGUAAACUUUACAGCCUUUUAAAACAUCUAUAACCAAACUUCGCUCAGAAUUGUUUUUCGUAAACAAAUAUUAAUUAUUGCGUACAGAUAUAAAUUAAAUUCCCCUCAAUAUCCUACCUUCCCAACUUCUCACCUACAACAGUGACCCUCUCAUUGUAUGAAGAAUAUCCGUCAUUUUAAAUAUAAUUAUAUACAUUUACUUUUUAUUGUUUUAGAUAAACCUGGAAAUUACUUGGAAAAUAAGAACGAUUUACCAAAUAGGUAAUAAUUUUUAAUAGAUGUUUAAUAUGAGUUGGCGAUUAUUUGUAUUUUUCUAAAUUAUUAGGUAUGAAAGAAAUUGGAAUAUUGCUGAUGAUGAAGAAGAUCCGGAAAAUGAAUACAUGGAAGCACAUAAAAAAUUUAGUUCUGAACCAUUUGAUGAUCAAUAUGAUGAUCAAUUUUCAAACCAACAGCAUAGAAAUUCAUAUUAUGAUAAUGAUAAUUAUUCUAGAGGACAUCAGGGGCCUAGAGACUACAAUGAUGACUAUCCUAGAUCUUUGAAUCAAUCAAGUGGACCUCAAAUACCGAAGAAUAUGGACAUUGAAUACCCUAGACCGAAUUCUCAAUUCUCUAGAAAUGUUAACCAAAGUUACCCUCACGAUUUGCAAACACCAAAAAAGAAAGACAGUGAUUAUUAUAAAUCUACAAAUAAUAUUAAAAGUAUAGAUCAAGGAUUUUCCAGGGAAGUGCCUAAUUUAAGAGAUGUCAAUGGUGAGUAUUCUAAUGAAUCCACUGUUGAUAAAAACAAAUUUAUUUCACCAAAAGGGAACUAUGGACUUCCUCCAAGAAGAAAUUAUGAACCGUCUAGAAGUAAUUUUGGUAAUAAUUUAAAUAAGACAAAUAUAGAAUGGGAUAAUAAAGACUAUACACAAAAUGAGGCACCUCAACAGUCUGUAAAAGAUAUCAUAAUUCCACCUCUUGUUCAACAGCCAGCAAUUGAUUGCACACCAAUUGAUCCAGUAAAAAUAUUUGAUUAUCGUCAUUUACCCACAUUAAAAGUAAUUCCAGGUAAUAUUACAUUUGAAUUUUAUGAAAAAAUAAUUACUGUAAACUCUAAUUAUUUAAUAAUAACUUAGUAUUUAUAUUUAGGAAUAUCAAAAGAAACUGUGAUCCCAAUUAGAGUUUAUGAUUAUAAACAUGGAGGUAAACGUAUACUACCAUGGCAAGAUAGAGGUUUGUAUUAGAUUUUUAAUUCGCAGUAGGGCUGUUUAAAAUUAUUGUAAUAUGAGUAACAAUAUCCCUUGUGAUAAAAAAAAUUAUAAUUGUUUAAACUGACUAAGGAUCUAUAUUUUACUCAGGACCACAAUUUUGCUCAGUUUAACCUAGAUCAGGGAUCCACAACUAGAUGGGAGAAAUCUGAUGUGCACUUUGACAUCAUAGGCCAAAAUUGCUUAGGAAAACGUAGAUAGAUAAUUAGAUUUGGUUUUUCACUAUUAUUAGUUUUUGAGAACAAUACCUAAAUUAAACACCCUUCUAUUAUAUACUUUUUUCGUAAAAUUCAAUUUAAAACUAAUUUACUUUUAAAUUGUCAGUUAGUUUGGCCAUAAGAUGGAGACCCUUAAUCUAGGCAUGUCACUUCUGUAUUAUUAUUAUUAUUAUUAUUUGUUUUUAUAACAAUACUAUAGUGAACAAAAGUCAUUACAUUUAUUGUAAAUUAAAAAGAUUGGUGACAAUAUUCCAAAUUUGUUCAUAUUUUAUAACCACCUUAUGAUAUUACCACAAUUAUAACGAAUCGUUCGAUUUUCGAAAUGAAAAUUAUUUACUACUACUUCUGUGCAGUCACCAAUAUGAUUUUCUGUAGUAAAACAGAGCAACCUUGUUACAAAGAAGAAAAAUUCUCUGUCAUAAAUUCAUAAGUAAAAGGCAAAUUAUUUCAAAUACAUUUUUUAUAAAUUCUAUCAAUAUUUUAGAUUCUAGACUGGGUUUUAGGUUUAAAUUGAUUAAAAUAUACAGUUACUAAUUCCCUUAAAUUAAAAUGACAAAUGGUUUUAUUCAAAAUAAUAAAUUUGCUUUCGGUUAAUUAUAUGUACAGAUUGUUUCACAAAGAUUGUAAAAACUUUUAUUCUGUUCAAUAGUUUAACGAUUUUUCUUUUUUGUAUUAACUGACUAGAAUAUUUUUUUUUUUUUAAAAAAACACUUAAGAUAAAUUUAAACAUUUAUACUAAAAAAAUUGUUGAUUUAAGAAAUGUUUAUUGAUAAUGAGUUACAUUUUUUCCAUUUCAACUACCAAAUAAUUUCAUAUUUAAUGUUAAUGUAUAACUAUAAUAAAAUCCAAUUAUGAACCAAUGCAAUAACAAUAAUAGGUAAAGGUAAUAAAGAUGUAAUGUAGAAAAAUUAUUUUGGGUAAUUAGAUCUGGGCUAUUAUAAAGAAUGUAAUACCUCUUUAUUGAAUAUUUUUAAGUUUUUUUUUUUUUAAUGUUUAGAAAAACCUAACCUUUGAAAACUUCAACAAUUUUUAAAAAACUAAACGACUCAUCAUUAGUUAACAUUUGUAACAGUUAGACUUCUAACUCACUAGGCAGUCUGGCUGCAUCAGCCAUCCAUGGCCACUGAUAAGCAAUGGUUGAGUAUGCAAUAUGUGACUUGUAAUAAUUAGCCAGUUAGCUGCUGUGCAUUCGUGUACGUUCUGUUUGCUGCUACACCCACAAAUUAAUGGCUAUCUAGUGUGCAAGCUACAAUUAACCGCCAAAUGUCACAUUAGCUGUGUCAGCCAAGUUGCCUAGUGGUUUAGAAGCCUGCAAUUUUUUAAAAUAAAUGUAUUAAUUAACUAUUAUAUUUUGUAUAAAAAAGAAAUUAAAAAUAUUAAACAGAAUACAAGUUAGUGCAUUUGUUACAGUGAUAAUUGAUAUACUUAAAAUAAAAAAUAAUAUUUAAAUGAGUAGCCUGGUCACAAGAACCACUCUUUUAGGUUAGGACACCAUUUGAAAUGGGAUAAAUCAUUUGAAUAACCAUAUAAUAUAUCUAGGUUUGUUAAUUUAUACACAAAUUUCAGGUUUUAGUCGAAGAAAUUCAAAUCAUCCAAGAGAUUUAAAUGAAGAAGGUAAAUAAUUAUAACUAAAUGACAUUUAUAUACAAUGUGUAUUAUAUUUUAUAUAUGAGUUUAUUAUAUUUAAAAUGUAAAUGACUAUUAAAUUUAAUAAUAUUAUUUUCAAUUUUAAAUUGAAAUUAUGUAUAAUAAUAAUAUUUUUAAUUUUUUUUAAGACAACAUUAAUGAUCAAGAUAAAAAUAAAGAAACAUCAACUAAGAAGCCAACAUCAUUUGGGUCACAAGGUAGUUUAUUUUAAAUUAAAGUUGAGAAUAAAUAAAUUAUCAAGCAUAUAAUUAUUAUAUAAUAUUUAGAUAAUUCAUCAGACAUUAAAGAUUUUGAUUUUAAAAAUAAAGCCAAAGAAACUAAAAUGAUUGAAGAAACUACUAUUUUCGAAAUUAAAGAUGACAAAUUUAAAGAAGAUACAUCUAUUCCAGUAGACACUAUUACUAUUAUUGACGAUGAUGAUGUUGAAGAGGAGGAUGUGAUGAUUAUUGAUAAUUUAGAAAAAAGAGAAUUACUACAGUCUGGCAACAAAACAAAUAAUUCCCAUGUCCAUGUGCCAUCUCCACCUAAAAUGUUGCACAAUAUGGAAGUCGAAAAAUCACCUGCUAGAAAAUUGUUAUCUAUUGAUACAUUACUAAGUCCACCUGGUCGGCUUAAUAGACCGGCCAAAAUAGUUAUAAUAAUGAGAGGAUUACCUGGUUCAGGAAAAUCCUACGUUGCGAAGUUAAUCAAAGUUAGUAUAAUAUUAUACAUUUGUAUAUUAUAUUAUAUCAGUGCUUGAAUGAAUAUUGGUAAAAGUAACAAAUAUGUAUGUAUAAUAAGUGUAUGUUUCUGUAGACUUAUUUGAAUUAUUUAAACAAACUAGAUGAGAUAUGAAAUAGUUAAGAAAAAAAGGUAUUCAGUCUUCUCGCAUCUGUCAAUUCAAGUACUGAUUAAUAUUACAUUUUAUUGAGUUAUCUACAUUGUAAUAAAUUUCAUUAGGAGAAAGAAGUAGCAAUGGGUGGACAAGCUCCUAGAGUAUUAUCAUUAGAUGAUUAUUUUAUGACAGAAAUAACUAAGACUGAAAUUAAUCCUGAGACCAAUAAAACAGUGGAAAAAAAGGUAAUAUUGUUUAUAUUGUUAUUCUUGUUUAAACCCAUUAAUAUCUAAAAAAUAUUUAAUUUUCUUACAUUAUCUUACAGGCUAAUUAAAACAUGAAAUGUGGUUGUUAGGUCAAAUACACAUACAUGUUAAAAUUAAAUCAAAAUAAUGUAAUAUUUUUAAUUUUAAUAAUUUAUUUUUAUCUCAGUAAUAUUGUGAUAAAAUGGUUUUACAAUACAUAUUUUUAUAUCACUUGAAAGAUUGGGGUUUCCAUUGCAUUGCGACCCUAACUGUUUUGAUGUUUCCUUGUCAUUAUGUAAUUAUAGUGUCCUUUAUACUUUAACAAAGUCUGUUACUGGUGUAGGUUUUACCAAUAUUUUACUAAUUUUUUUUCUAUCUCGUUUGCCGAUUUCCCAUUGCUUUAUCUAUAGUAGUAGAUCCACAUAUUUUCCUCUAUGCUGUGUUCUCAAAAUGUAUCAAUCUUAAUUCUACUGUUUGGUUAUUGUUUAAGUGUCACGUCUAUGAAUGAAAGUUGUUUCUACUUUGUUUAUAGUUGUCCUAGAUUAGCGGGCAUAGGAUUAAGGAUCAUAAGGGCACCAGAUACACACACCAACAUAAUAUAGCAACCAAACAAACUCUCAUAUAUUUUAACAAUAAAUAAAUACAAUAACAAUUAUAAGUAUCUUAUUGAAACUAUCAAUGAGACCAGUGAUUUUCAACCUGGGGGUUAUGACCGACUAAGGGGUUGCGAAAAAUUAUGGUAUCAUGUAUACCAGCGUUUCCCAACCUUUUUCCCUCGCGGCACACUAAUCCCAACCCAUAUUUAGCCGCGGCACACUUGUCACUUAGUUAUUUAUGUAUACAAAUUUUUUUAUACUAGACUUUCAUCAUAUUAAUUAUUAAUACCAAAAUAGUUGUAUAUCAGUAUAAUAUUUCUAGCAAACAUUUUAAAAUGGUAGGAUAGAAAAAAAUAUUAUUACAAUUAUCCUAAAUAUUUAAUUUAUUGAAAUGGAAAAACAAGAUACAUUACAAUUUUUAUAAAAAACCUAAUCUUAGUGAGAAAUUUGGGACUGUUUUCUCUUCAUUAUUAGGUUCCUUCGUGGUCGAAUGGUUGAUAAGCACACCCUCAUGUCGUCUUCCAAGUUCUUCAGUUUUGAUGGCAUUCAUUGAAGAGAAUGCUCACUAUUCAUAGCAGAACACAUUGAUUAAAUAAUCUUGAUUUCAAAGGUUUACUUUUAAUGAAGUUUACCAUUUUGACAACAGUUUGCAAUACUUCAUUGAGCUCAGGCAUCAAAGAUUUAGCAACGAGAGCUUCUCUAUAUAUGAAGCAGUGAGUGAAAAUAAUAUCCAGGUUUUCUUUCUUAACUAAUGCCAAAAAACCUGUUAAAUGACCAAUCAUUGAAGGGCACCCAUCUGUACAAACACUCAAACAAAAUUUCCAUGAUAUAUUGGCAGUGGUAAAAUAAUUGUUAACCAAAUUAAAAAUAUCUUGUCCUUUUGUAGUUUCAGGAAGGUCUUUACAAAAUAAAAAUUGUUCUAUCAACUCAUUAUCGCAUAUAAAUUUUACGAAUGUCAUGACCUGAGGUUUUCCGGUUACAUCUGUAGACUCAUCUAAUUGAAGGGCAAACAAUUCAGCUGCUUUCAGUUUUUCAUUCACGNUCACCAAACAAAAUUUUAAAGAUUUCACAGCAUGCUGGUAAAAUGGUUGACUCGGCUGUUGUGUGAGAUUUCAUUUUUUUUGCUAUCAGUUCCACGACAGCAUAGCUAGCUUCCUGUGCCUUAUCUGAUACAGUUGAGUGUUUUAUAAACUUUAAAGCCUGUCUGUUUUGAUCUGAGGCUAACCUUUUGAAAAAAUCUAGAGGCUUUUCAGACGCAAAACCAUGUUUUGUAAGCAGGUGCCUUUUCAGCUUACUUGGUACAAUACUUUCAUUAGAUAAUUUUUCAAUACACAUGAGGCAUUGAGGUAUACUAGGUAUAGGCAUUUCUCCACCACUCGACGUGAAAUCAAAUGAUAAAAAGCUUUCGUGAUAUUGUCGAAUAUAAUUUUUUGAUCGUACGUUAGCAUUUUUACUCGCACUCACCUCAACAUUAGGAGGAUUGAAACUAGGACCAGGCAAUUCCUCAACAUCAACUCUAUGAGCACUAUUAGGAUCAGGCAAUUCUUCGCUUAAUUUACGUUUCCUAAUUAAAAAAUGAUCCAUCGUGCGCUACACGUAGUACGAAUGAUAAUCGUAAAGCGAAAAGAAAAAAUUUCCGUUAAAGUAUAACACGGUAAUAAUAAAUGUACUUCAUACGACGACAAACGACUAACUGACAUUUUAACAUUUUAAAUGAAUUAAUAAGAAAUAGUGAACAAUAAGAUAAGAUUCUCCCCGAUAAGAGAAUCGUUAAAACUAUUUUAACCAAUUACUGAAAUUUUACGGAAACUUUUAUUAAUAGUCAUGGCAUUUCGCGGCACACCGGUUGGGAAACCCUGAUGUAUACUGUACAUUAUAUUAUUCAAAUUCUGUUAAACAGUUUUUGAAGAGAUUAUCAAAGAUGUAAACAAAAAAAUUUGGGAUUCGUAAAAGUUUGAAAACUACUAGACUAGGCGUUAAUAUCUAAAUAUUCGAUUGUUUGGUUUUAAACCAGUCUAAAAGUAAAAACUUAUAGAUCUUGCUCAUCACUACUAUCAAGGUCAUGGGGUACUUGAGUCUGCAUCUGAUAUUCUGAUUCUUCAGCUUUCCUGUUCAGCAGUUUAUGCACCAGCCAACAUGGUACACUUGCAUGAAUUUGUGCACUGCUUCCCUCAUACUAUGCCAGAAGAAACACUACUUUAUUAUUGUACUUUACCUACUCUUGAUGGUUUCUUCAUGGUUGUGAAAUCUCCAUACUGAAGAGUUUACUUAUUUUCUCCAGUAUAUUCAGAUCAUUCUAUUGAUUGAAACCUUCAUAUAUCUGCCCGAAAAUGCAUUCUGUUGUCCUUGAAUGUCCUUGUAUAGAUAUGAUCCAAAACAAUUGUGGCCUUACAGUGCCAGAGUUAAAUGUUGGCUCCCCAGUUCAUAGCUUCAUCGAAAUAUUACUUAGUACUGUAUAAAUCUAAAUUUCUUACAGUGAACCACUUUAAUAUGUAAUCAUAUAAUGUCAUACAAUAUUAUAUAAAUUGUCUUGUCUAUAUAAUCAUUAAAUAAUAUUUUGUUUUACUUAGCAUUUUUAUUUAAAUAAAUGUAAUACUAUUAAAAAAUUUAAAGAUAAAAUAUUUGAUACCGAGGAAGAAGGACAUAGGUUAAUUUUAUACAGUUUUAAAUACAAGCAAAUUAAAUUUAAAGUAUAUACACUUAUGCUACUUAACCAAAAAAAAUUACAGAGGAAAAAUUGUCUGAAGUCCUUUUGCCCUAAAAAUGUAUUUAUUUUUUUUUUUCGUAACAUUAUUUUGUGUACUUUAUUGUUUAAGGUUAUGGAAUAUGAAUAUGAUUCUGCUAAUGAAAGUUUAUACCGUACAUCCUUUAUAAAAGCAUUUAAGAAAAAAGUGGUCGAAAAUUUUUUUUCAUUUUUUAUUAUUGAUGCUAUAAAUAAUAAAGUUACAUAUUAUAAAGAUAUACUUGAUAUUUCUAGAAUCAAUGGAUUUACUGUAAGUGUUAUUGAGUCUUUGUGCUAUAUUGUAUGUUUAAAUAUCUUGAUAUAUAUAUAUGCGUAUAUAAAAUAUAAUUAUUUUACAUUACUAUUAGAUUUGUUUUGGGGAAAAUGUAAUGUGUGAUUUAGUAAAGAUAAGUAGUAUCUUUAUAGUUUAUAGUAUUAAAAAAAGACUGACAUAUUUUGCAUGAUAGGUGGGCCACUAUUGUAAGUGAGAAUUUGAGCAAGUAGGAUAUAGAAAGGAAUUUAACGUUUAUCUGUACACAACUAUUAAUCAUUGCUAACCAAAAAUAAUUCUGAGCGGAGUUUAGUUUUACAUAUUUAUAAAGGUCGUAAUGUUUUUGACUUUUGUUGAAAUUUGAUAUUAAAAUUCUUAUAAAAAGAAUUCUACAUUACACUCAGUUUUUUAGAUUCUAAAUGGAGUGAGAAAUGUAUUGGUUUUACAAUGAUGUUUAUUUUAUUUUAUUUUUUAUGUGAACACUUUUUCUGAAAGGAAAUAUUUUCUGGGUGGUACUUUUAGAGAUCAUUUUUUAAAAUUCUCAUUAAUAUUUGAGAUAAUGAAGAAAACCUGGUUCUUUAGGUUAAAAAAGAUUGAAAGAUUACAAAUAAGGUUGUCAUUUUCAACCGCUAGGUUAUUUAUUUUUUGUUAUUAAGUUUUUAUUAUUUUAAGUCUUUUAUAAACAAUCAUUGUUGUCAUGGAAACGAAAAUGUAAUCAUUUUAUCAUAAUAUGAUAUAUACGAGUAUAUUGUAAACAACUAAACUCUGCUCAGAAUGGUUUUUUCGUAAGCAAUAGUUUAUUGUCUUUAUAAAAAUUUAAUUUUUUUUUUUUUUUUUUUGUUAUUAUGAACCUCUUAUUUAAUUUUCAAUCGUUUCUGUUUGAUUUUACAUUUUUAUCCACGGAGGUUAGAUUAGGACUACCUACCAGAGAAAAAUGACAUAAAAAACUCGCAAAAUUAAAAUGUUUAUAAAUAGCUCGAAAAUGGGUAAAAUGUUUUAAAAAAUUUACCACGUCUAGAUAAGGCAAAUUUAAUUUUUUUAACUGAAUAAUAACAAAAAGAAAAUUUAAAUUUAUAAAUUUUGUAAACAUUCCCGUUUUAUUUCGUUUUUUUGUAAUUAUGAAAAUCUCUUGAAAAAUCAUUAAAUGACUUCCCUAAAGUACCACCCAGAUAAAAUUUCUUUUCAGAAAAUGUACUACAAUUGCUCCAUUAUCAACACGCCGCAUGCUGUAUAAUACAGUGGAGUGGUGAAAUCACUACCCUCCUUUAACCAAUACUAAAAAGUGGAAUAUCUCCUCAAACGGAAAUCAAAACUUUCAACACAAAAAUUUAUUUUAACAUUAUCUUUUCAUCUAUUUAUGGAAUUUUUAAUAUAGAUUGCCAUUUUCAAAUCAAAAAUAGUUACCCCCCAAAAAUAAGGGUAGAACAGCUUAUUUUCUUAAAUGUUCUAUAAAACAAAUUCCUGAAAUAAUUAAUACUUUCCGAGAUAAUGAGUUUAUUCACUUAAAUGGAUCACUUAGCAUGUAUGUAUAAUUAUUUAUAGGCUGUCUCACGAAGAUAUACCCCUUGAAUAUCUCCGGAGAUAACAAAUAUAAUCAAAUUCUGUUUUUUUUUUUUUAUAUAUUACUCACAGGGAUGAGAACUAAAAUAUUUUAUUAUUUUAGGAAAAUUUUAAGAUAGCCAUUCUGUAGCGUUUAUUUUUCUGAAAAUUUUAAUUUAUCACACAUUACCCUGUGCCACCCACUAAAAAAUGUAUUUUGCAAUAAAGUCCAUUCCCUAGUUAUCACGUAACACAGUUAAGUCAUUCCUUAAAUAAGUAACAUUAGUUUUCACACAGAUUAGGGAAUUUAAAAUGGCUGUUACUUAAAAACUAUUCAUCGGAUAUAAAUGUGUGAUACAUUAAAAUUUUCAGCAAAAUAAAUUCUGCAGAAUGGCAUUUAUAAAAUUUUACUAAAAUAUUAAAAAUAGUUAUAUAUUUUUUAAGUUUUUUACUAAAAAAAAAAUUGAAUACAAAUAAAAAAUAUUUGUAGUCCUCAUCCCUGUGAGUAAUAUAAAAAAAAAAAUUUGAUUAUCUUUAUCAUCUCUGAAGAUAUUAAAAGGGUAUAUUUUGGUGGGACAGCCAAUAUAUAUUUAUUUUUUUUUCAUAAAUCAAGAUAUUUAAAUACAAUAAUAAUAAUAAUGAUUUUGCAUAUUUUAUGUUAAUUAUAUACAUUUUUAGGUGUAUAUUAUUGAAUUAGAAGCUGAUGUUGAUCUAUGUAUCAAACGCAAUAUUCAUAAUAGAACAGCUAAUGAUAUUAAAUAUUUAAUGAAAUCUUGGGUUAAAACUCCUGAUAAUCAAAUACUGUUGGAUAUACGAUCAUUACUUAAUUUAGCUUCAAAGAGUGAAGUAUUAAAAAAAUUAUUUAAUAUUUAAACAUGUUAAAUUAAAUAUGUAUUAUUAAAUUAGAUGGAAAUGGAGGAUGUAUCAGACGUCGAAAUGGAUUUGGACAGAGACGAAAAUGACAAUGCUGAUGAUGAAAACAAACAGAAAGAAAACACAAGUAUUGAUUUUGAAGAAGAGGUAAUGGUUUUUUUUUUUAAGUUAUUUUAAGUUAGAUAACAUAUAUAUACAUUCUUCUUCUCCUUCUUUCUACAAAAUAAUGGAAAAAUAAAAUAUUCAAUGAUUGAAUAGGUUUAGAUUUUAUAAGGUUCAUAUAACUAGUUAAUUAACCAUAUUGCAGUUACCUAUUAUAUUUGUGUGAAAUGAUCUCGUGAUAAACGAAACAAAAUUAUUACUCGGAAUGUGUGAAUAAUUAUAUUUAAACAAUUGUGUAAAUAUCCAGUGGCUGAGUAGUUUUGUCAAAAUAAUGCUGUUGUUUCUAAAUUAGUGUUAUUUUUUUUUAUUUGUAUAACAUAAUCUUUAAUAAUUUUUGUUGAAAACAUAGCAUCUUAUAAAAAACGUAAAACCAGAAGAUACCAUUUCUAUUAUUCUAUUUUUUGGUUGCUAAUAUUUCUACAGGACAUCAUGAAAUUAUUGUCUUGCAAAUGGAUUGAUACUAUCCCACAAGAAGAAAAGAUGAGUAAGUUAUGUUGAUCAUUUUUUUUAUUAUUGACACAAAAAUUAACUAUUUUUAUUUAAUUUUCUACAGAUAUUAACAAUGUUAGAAAUUUUAGUUUCUCUUAAUUAUUUGAAAUUAAAUAUUAACAUUUGAAUGUUAUAUUUAUUUCAGAGAGAUUAGAUGGCCUGUGCAAGAAAAAACCAGAAAGGUCAAUUAAAGAAUGGUUACAAAUACCUGAAGAUAAUUAUACCGAUUGUGAACAAGAAGUAGUUGUCAAAGAUGGAAAAAAGAGGGUAAAUAUUAUCAUUUAUUUAUUUAAACUAAAAAUAAAAACCAAUUAUUUAAUUGUAGAUUAAGUGAUGACACUGCAAUAUUUUAACUUCUAUUAAAAAUCAAAACAAAUUAUACACAUCUUAUAUCAUUAUUAUUAGUCUACUUCACACUAUAUAUUAUAUAUAUUAUCUGUUGUAUGUGUAAGAAAUUAUUUCUGCGAUUAACGUUAAUGUUUUGAUAGCCCUUAAACUUAUUUUAAAAUCAUUUUCACCAUCUAUAGCUCUACAUUAUUUGUUUUUUCUGAUCAGUUCAUCUACGUGUACAAAACUAUAUUAAUUUCAUUUGUCCUCUAAAGAAUUAUUUUUAUAUAAUUUUGUAUUGAUAUAAAUAUGAAUUUCUAUAUGUAAAUGUUUCAUAUUUUUUAUCAGCAAAAAGAAAAUUAUACAUUAUUAAAAAACUUUUUUAUUUUGUGUAGGUUCGUUGGGCUGAUAUGGAAGAGCGACGUGAACAAGAAAAAAUGCGUGCUAUUGGUUUUGUUGUUGGGCAGACAGAUUGGAAUCGUAUGUUAGGUCGAGAUCAAGGUGAAAGCAAGCUGACCCAAACCAAAUAUAUUUGAUUAUCAAAAUAUA
Molecule: long non-coding RNA, 13011 nt
Filed under: Cinara cedri
Lineage: Eukaryota; Metazoa; Arthropoda; Insecta; Hemiptera; Aphididae
Source: RNAcentral